AACGAACGCUGGCGGCAUGCCUAACACAUGCAAGUCGAACGAGACCUUCGGGUCUAGUGGCGCACGGGUGCGUAACGCGUGGGAACCUGCCCUUAGGUUCGGAAUAACUCCCCGAAAGGGGUGCUAAUACCGGAUAAUGUCUUCGGACCAAAGAUUUAUCGCCUUUGGAUGGGCCCGCGUUGGAUUAGCUAGUUGGUAGGGUAAAAGCCUACCAAGGCGACGAUCCAUAGCUGGUCUGAGAGGAUAAUCAGCCACACUGGGACUGAGACACGGCCCAGACUCCUACGGGAGGCAGCAGUGGGGAAUAUUGGACAAUGGGCGAAAGCCUGAUCCAGCAAUGCCGCGUGAGUGAUGAAGGCCUUAGGGUUGUAAAGCUCUUUUAACCGGGAUGAUAAUGACAGUACCGGGAGAAUAAGCGCCGGCUAACUCCGUG
Molecule: ribosomal RNA, 433 nt
Filed under: uncultured bacterium
Lineage: Bacteria
Description: partial 16S ribosomal RNA
Rfam family: Bacterial small subunit ribosomal RNA
Source: RNAcentral